Molecule: long non-coding RNA, 797 nt
Filed under: Parus major (Great Tit)
Lineage: Eukaryota; Metazoa; Chordata; Aves; Passeriformes; Paridae
Description: lncRNA (ENSPMJG00000010910.1)
Source: RNAcentral
AAAGUUUAAUUUUUAAUUAAAUCUGAAAUACCAAUUAUAACUGAAAGAGAUUUUAACCUGUUUCUUUUCAGACUGCCUGAAGUUACAUUGUAGAUGCUGAAAUCACUGCACCUUAAAAACAAAAAGAUUAAGCCACACUGCAUUCCUGCAUUAAUCCAGAAACUCAGGGGGAUAAAUUCUGCCCUGAUUUCUACCUGUGCAACCCCAGUGGAAAUGUGGAGAGGUCAAAAAUGUUUAUUAAGGCAGAAAUUGUCCUGGAGUUAGAAUUGUGGAGAAAGCAGAAACUAGUUGGUCGUUAUCUGGCCCAGGGGCAAGAGGAUAUGUAGGAGCCCUACCUGGCAUUGUAUGCUUCUGAAAGUGCUGCUUUUUUUGUACCUUAAGGAGAAUAUAUUAAAAAAAAAUUAAAUAUAUCUAGUGAGUGAAAAUUUAUAAUCAAGAGCACAGUGAUUAAUUGUUCUUCAUGUCCACUGGGAGAAAGACCUAAAGAAAUCAGUUCAAUGAGCAGUGAAAAUUGCCAAGUUAGAUAAUAGGAGCCAUGUUGUGACUGUAUGCGUUGUAAAGUGCUGGAACACACAACCUAUAGGUACUAUGGAAGCAGGGGAAAUUUCUUUUUUAAGGAAUGGCUUGAAAAACCGCCUCCCAGAAUGUGCUGGAAGUUCCCAAUAAGACAGAUGACCAAGCUGGAUGGGUUCUGUUACUCCCUGGCAUCUCUCUGAUUCAGUGUACCGUUUGGGAAUGUUGGUAUGUGGCGAGUACAUUCCUGAUUAAUAAAGCCUAAUGUUCCCAAAAGAUCUCCA